Molecule: unclassified non-coding RNA, 245 nt
Filed under: Ascomycota sp.
Lineage: Eukaryota; Fungi; Ascomycota
Description: partial contains small subunit ribosomal RNA, internal transcribed spacer 1, and 5.8S ribosomal RNA
Rfam family: Eukaryotic small subunit ribosomal RNA (bases 1-47)
Source: RNAcentral
AAAGUCGUAACAAGGUCUCCGUUGGUGAACCAGCGGAGGGAUCAUUACAGAGUUGCAAAACUCCCAACCAUUGUGAACCUACCUCACCGUUGCUUCGGCGGGUGGCCCGGCAAAAACCGGGCUGCGCCGGCCCUGCUUGCGGAGCCGGCAACCCGUCAGAAGACCGAAACCAUUAGUUAUCAUUGGCCUCUCUGAGUAACUUAUACAAUAAGUCAAAACUUUCAACAACGGAUCUCUUGGUUCUG